UACGUAGGGUGCGAGCGUUAAUCGGAAUUACUGGGCGUAAAGCGUGCGCAGGCGGCUUCGCAAGUCAGGCGUGAAAUCCCCGGGCUUAACCUGGGAAUGGCGUCUGAAACUACGGAGCUGGAGUGUGGCAGAGGGAGGUAGAAUUCCACGUGUAGCGGUGAAAUGCGUAGAUAUGUGGAGGAAUACCGAUGGCGAAGGCGGGUCUCUGGGCCGAUACUGACGCUGAGGAGCGAAAGCGUGGGGAGCAAACAGG
Molecule: ribosomal RNA, 253 nt
Filed under: uncultured bacterium
Lineage: Bacteria
Description: partial 16S ribosomal RNA
Rfam family: Bacterial small subunit ribosomal RNA
Source: RNAcentral